RNAcentral lists this long non-coding RNA (253 nucleotides) under Phoenix dactylifera (date palm). Its description in RNAcentral is "long non-coding RNA (PDAC_LNC015819)". Lineage: Eukaryota; Viridiplantae; Streptophyta; Magnoliopsida; Arecales; Arecaceae. The record is from RNAcentral.
AAACAUUUAUUCGCAAUCAAGAUCAUUGAAAAACACAUCAUUUAGACCAAUUUUAAUACACUUAUAAGAUAAAAAAUGAUAUGUUUCAGAUGCGUAUCGGAGCAAACAACCAAGGUAUCAAAAUUAAUUCUAUUUUUCUUAAGCUGUAGUUUUUAUCUAAGAAUCAUAGUAAAUUAUUCUCCAGCAUGAUGCAAUCUUUGAAGCAUAUAAUGAAAAUUACAAAAAUGUAAAGAUAUAAGCAUUUUAUAUGGAG